Molecule: ribosomal RNA, 464 nt
Filed under: uncultured bacterium
Lineage: Bacteria
Description: partial 16S ribosomal RNA
Rfam family: Bacterial small subunit ribosomal RNA
Source: RNAcentral
CUACGGGGUGCAGCAGUCGAGAAUAGUCUACAAUGGGCGAAAGUCUGAUAGUGCGACGCCGCGUGGAUGAAGAAGCAUUUCGGUGUGUAAAGUCCUUUUCUGUGUGAGCAAUGUUUUCCAGGUUAAUAGCUUGGAGAAAGCGAUAUUAACACAGGAAUAAGCUCCGGCUAACUCCGUGCCAGCAGCCGCGGUAACACGGGGGAGCACGCGUUGUCCGGAAUUACUAGGCGUAAAGGGUAAGUAGGCGGAAUUGUAAGUCAGAUGUUAAAGGCACCGGCUCAACCGGUGUAUGGCAUUUGAUACUGUAAUUCUAGAGUAAGGUGGGGGAAGACGGAAUUCCUGGUGUAGCGGUGGAAUGCGCAGAUAUCAGGAGGAACACCAGAGGCGCAGGCGGUCUUCUAUACCAUUACUGACGCUCAAUUACGAAGGUGUGGGUAUCAAACAGGAUAGAUACCCUGGUAGUC